GUGGGGAAUAUUGGACAAUGGGGGGAACCCUGAUCCAGCCAUGCCGCGUGUGUGAAGAAGGCCUUUUGGUUGUAAAGCACUUUAAGCGAGGAGGAGGCUACCGAGAUUAAUACUCUUGGAUAGUGGACGUUACUCGCAGAAUAAGCACCGGCUAACUCUGUGCCAGCAGCCGCGGUAAUACAGAGGGUGCAAGCGUUAAUCGGAUUUACUGGGCGUAAAGCGCGCGUAGGUGGCCAAUUAAGUCAAAUGUGAAAUCCCCGAGGUUAACUUGGGAAUUGCAUUCGAUACUGGUUGGCUAGAGUAUGGGAGAGGAUGGUAGAAUUCCAGGUGUAGCGGUGAAAUGCGUAGAGAUCUGGAGGAAUACCGAUGGCGAAGGCAGCCAUCUGGCCUAAUACUGACACUGAGGUGCGAAAGCAUGGGGAGCAAACAGGAUUAGAAACCCCUGUAGUCC
RNAcentral lists this ribosomal RNA (451 nucleotides) under uncultured bacterium. RNAcentral's name for it is "partial 16S ribosomal RNA". It matches the Rfam family "Bacterial small subunit ribosomal RNA", at positions 354 to 796 of the family's 1533-position model. The record is from RNAcentral.